RNAcentral lists this ribosomal RNA (425 nucleotides) under Sousa chinensis (Indo-pacific humpbacked dolphin). RNAcentral describes it as "partial 12S ribosomal RNA". Lineage: Eukaryota; Metazoa; Chordata; Mammalia; Artiodactyla; Delphinidae. The record is from RNAcentral.
GGUGUGUGCGUGCUUCAUGGCCUUAUUCAAUUAAGCAUUCUAUUCUUAAUUUACUGCUAAAUCCUCCUUUAGUUUUUAGGUUUCAUAAAAACUUUCGUGUAAGUUUAAGGGGUAUUCUUAUUAUAGAAAAUGUAGCCCAUUUCUUCCCAAUCCAUAGGUUACACCUUGACCUAACGUUUUUACGUGCAGUAGUUGUGCUUACUUUCGUUCCUUUUUUAGGGUUUGCUGAAGAUGGCGGUAUAUAGACUGAAGUAGCAAGGAUUGGUGAGGUUAAUCGUGGUUUAUCGUUUACAGAACAGGCUCCUCUAGAAGGAUAUGGAGCACCGCCAAGUCCUUUGAGUUUUGGGCUGUUGCCGAUAGUACUCUGGCGAAUAAUCUUGUUUUAGGAUUAUUUAAGUUUACGACUAAGCAUAGUGGGGUAUCUA